Molecule: ribosomal RNA, 445 nt
Filed under: Manga melanodonta
Lineage: Eukaryota; Metazoa; Arthropoda; Insecta; Lepidoptera; Noctuidae
Description: partial 16S large subunit ribosomal RNA
Source: RNAcentral
UCUGCCCACUGAUAAAUAUUGAAGGGCUGCAGUAUAUUGACUGUACAAAGGUAGCAUAAUCAUUAGUCAUUUAAUUGAUGACUUGUAUGAAAGAUUGGAUGAAAUAUAAACUGUCUCUUAAUUAUAAAUAGAAUUUAAUUUUUUUAUUAAAAAGUUAAAAUAAUUUAAAAAGACGAGAAGACCCUAUAGAGUUUUAUAAUUAAAAUAAUUAAUAUUAUUUGUUAAAUUAAGGUUGAAAUUAUUUUAUUUAUUGUAUUGGGGUGAUAAAAAAAUAUAUAUAACUUUUUUUAAAUAAAAACAUUUAUAAGUGGUUAAUUGAUCCAAUAUUAUUGAUUACAAGAAAAAAUUACCUUAGGGAUAACAGCGUAAUUUUUUUUUUUAGUUCAUAUAAUAAAAAGAGUUUGCGACCUCGAUGUUGGAUUAAGAUAAAAUUUAAAUGCAGAAG